This 931-nucleotide long non-coding RNA is filed under the name Equus caballus (horse). RNAcentral describes it as "lncRNA (ENSECAG00000051640.1)". The record is from RNAcentral. Lineage: Eukaryota; Metazoa; Chordata; Mammalia; Perissodactyla; Equidae.
ACCACAUUACAGAUGGGGAAAGAGCCCUCUUUUCGGAGUGUCAAGACCUUCCCGAGCACUGGAAGGGUAGAGCCCCCUCCUCCGCGAGCGCUCGCUCUCUUGGGUCACGUCCAGCUGGCACAGCUACCCUUCCGCUUGGCCCACUCUCAGUUCCCUGGACACAGCUCUGCCUGGAAGCGCUUCUUGCCUGCUCCUCACUUCAGUUUUCUCCUUCCAAGAGCCCUAGGAAUCUUUUCCUGACUCACAGUCUUGCUGGUCCUAAAGAUGCCCAUGCCCAGGUCAGGGAGGACGCCCUGACACUCUGGCCUUAGAUCCCAGAGCCCAAUCCCUUCUCUGAUCUCCUCACUUGGCAUUGAGCCUGCCAUUUGCUGACCACUGCUACGAGCCAGGCGGUGUUCACAGACAUCUCAUGAAAUCCUCACAACCGCCCCAUGAAGAGUUCUCAACCCUGUUUACAGUGGAGGAAACAGGCUCAGAAAAACGAAGUUACGUCGCUGAAGAUUCUCCAGCAGGCAGGUGGUGGAGCCUGGCGUUCCCCACAGGGAUGUGUUUACAGUGGAUUCCCUGGGUGCAUUGCCCCCUCACUCUGCAAGGAGGCUUCCCCUGUACUUCUUGAGUUUAUGAUCAAUUCCAGUAUCCUGUCUGAGGCUGCUCUUGGAACCAGUUCCUGUAUUGGUAGGAAAGAAGGAAAUUGUGGAGCAGAAAACCAGAGUGCCCCAGCUAGGAUGUUGGGAGUGGAACUGGUGCCAGGACAUCUGAGACAGGGAGUGAAGCUGGUGAGUUAGGAGGGCAUCCUUAGGGCGAGAACUGCAGAUUGCCCAGGAAACUGAAGCAGGCCACAGAGCAGGAUGAGCUCUUCCUUCAUUCGGUAUUCUGUUAAAAACGCAGAUUGCUGUACUGCAAUUCAAUUCUCACGCUAACCACCUGGAGU